Molecule: unclassified non-coding RNA, 309 nt
Filed under: plant metagenome
Description: partial contains 5.8S ribosomal RNA, internal transcribed spacer 2, and large subunit ribosomal RNA
Rfam family: 5.8S ribosomal RNA (bases 1-105)
Source: RNAcentral
GAAAUGCGAUAAGUAAUGCGAAUUGCAGAAUUCAGUGAAUCAUCGAAUCUUUGAACGCACAUUGCGCCCCUUGGUAUUCCAUGGGGCAUGCCUGUUCGAGCGUCAUUUGUACCCUCAAGCUCUGCUUGGUGUUGGGUGUUUGUCCCGUCUCCGCGCGUGGACUCGCCCCAAAGUGAUUGGCAGCCGGCGUACUGGUCCCGGAGCGCAGCACAUGUCGCGCAAACGAGUGCCUUGGUACGGCGGCGUCCAUAAGCCCCUCUCUCACGCUCUUGACCUCGGAUCAGGUAGGGAUACCCGCUGAACUUAAGC